Molecule: long non-coding RNA, 1029 nt
Organism: Gallus gallus (chicken)
Lineage: Eukaryota; Metazoa; Chordata; Aves; Galliformes; Phasianidae
Exons: 2
Source: RefSeq, a predicted model, not a curated record
CUAUAAUAAUUCUUAUAAAACUAAGUUAUUUUUUCCAAUCAACUGAAUACUUCCUUGAUUGUAUCAUUUUAUUUAAUGCUAAUGCUUCCUCCUGCUUUUAGUUGCAACCACAAAGCACUUGCAUCCAGCUCAAGCUAAUUACGUGGAUCAUUGCCAUAGGAGGUAUUUGCUUCACCUCCCACAAAAUCAUUAUCUGUCAUGAUCUGCCACUUGCCCUGGCGGCUUUGUUUGUGUUAUCAUCCAAGUCUCAGAAAGCCCAUAUUAUCUUUCCCCAGUGGCAUCUAACGAUUGAUUAGUAGCAGUCAGAAAAGACUUUAAAUGGCAAUUAGCUCUCAAGUCGGUCAGUGACUUUAACACUCAUAUUUGUCAGGCAUCUAUACUUCCUGGAUGACCUAAAUAGGGACCUAGCUCUGGGGUCACUGGAAUAUUCCCUAAUGGUCUGUGAAGAGCUGAGAGGUCAGGUAUACAAUAAUACUUCUAUUUGCAGUUGGAUGAACAGAAAAAGUGUAUUCAGCGUUCCACAGUACUAUAUACAUCUCCAGAGAGGUCUGUCCAGACUUUCUGGAAGGCUACUGAUGUGCCUUCCUGUCAAGGAAGAUCUGAUUUUGUAGAAACCAAGAUUGGGAGCUCUACCUAAAGUGGCUUGUCUUCACUUCUGUUGAGAAAGGUUGAUGAAUUGUUCCUGCUGUGUCUUUGGCAAUGCUUAGUCCACAGAGAGCCAGCAAGUCAGGUUCCCAGGGCAGGUGUUGGCUUCCUUCUGCACCCAAAGCCACAACUUCAUGGCUCCUAGGAUUCCUCUGGCUUCACAUGAGUUACACAAGGAAAGAAGAGGACACAGACACAAGAGUGAUAGCAAGGAGCUUCUCUGCACUGUAUUUUGUACUUUGGGGUAUCUGCAGGUAGAUUCUCACAGUAAACAGCUGUGAAUCGGUUUGUGCCAGAGCACUGCCUCCUGGCUUAUUCAGUGAGAAUGAAGGGGGAAAAUGUGAAUUUCCCCAUGAAAAAAUAAAAUUAUAAUUAGCUGUUCCA